This 492-nucleotide ribosomal RNA is filed under the name uncultured bacterium. Its description in RNAcentral is "partial 16S ribosomal RNA". It matches the Rfam family "Bacterial small subunit ribosomal RNA", at positions 29 to 507 of the family's 1533-position model. The record is from RNAcentral.
AGUGAACGCUGGCGGUAGGCCUAACACAUGCAAGUCGAACGGCAGCACAAUAAGAGCUUGCUCUUACGGGUGGCGAGUGGCGGACGGGUGAGGAAUACAUCGGAAUCUACUUUUUCGUGGGGGAUAACGUAGGGAAACUUACGCUAAUACCGCAUACGACCUACGGGUGAAAGCAGGGGAUCUUCGGACCUUGCGCGAUUGAAUGAGCCGAUGUCGGAUUAGCUAGUUGGCGGGGUAAAGGCCCACCAAGGCGACGAUCCGUAGCUGGUCUGAGAGGAUGAUCAGCCACUCUGGAACUGAGACACGGUCCAGACUCCUACGGGAGGCAGCAGUGGGGAAUAUUGGACAAUGGGCGCAAGCCUGAUCCAGCCAUACCGCGUGGGUGAAGAAGGCCUUCGGGUUGUAAAGCCCUUUUGUUGGGAAAGAAAAGCAGCAGGUUAAUACCCCGCUGUUCUGACGGUACCCAAAGAAUAAGCACCGGCUAACUUCGUG